This 508-nucleotide ribosomal RNA is filed under the name uncultured bacterium. Its description in RNAcentral is "partial 16S ribosomal RNA". It matches the Rfam family "Bacterial small subunit ribosomal RNA", at positions 28 to 523 of the family's 1533-position model. The record is from RNAcentral.
GAUGAACGCUAGCUACAGGCUUAACACAUGCAAGUCGAGGGGAAACGAUAUUGGAAGCUUGCUUCCGAUAGGCGUCGACCGGCGCACGGGUGAGUAACGCGUAUCCAACCUGCCCACCACUUGGGGAUAACCUUGCGAAAGUAAGACUAAUACCCAAUGAUAUCUCUAGAAGCCAUCUGAAAGAGAUUAAAGAUUUAUCGGUGAUGGAUGGGGAUGCGUCUGAUUAGCUUGUUGGCGGGGUAACGGCCCACCAAGGCGACGAUCAGUAGGGGUUCUGAGAGGAAGGUCCCCCACAUUGGAACUGAGACACGGUCCAAACUCCUACGGGAGGCAGCAGUGAGGAAUAUUGGUCAAUGGACGAGAGUCUGAACCAGCCAAGUAGCGUGCAGGAUGACGGCCCUAUGGGUUGUAAACUGCUUUUAUAAGGGAAUAAAGUGAGCCUCGUGAGGCUUUUUGCAUGUACCUUAUGAAUAAGGACCGGCUAAUUCCGUGCCAGCAGCCGCGGUAA